AAAGAAGCAGAGGGGGCUUAGUGGUGGGGUGACUGCGUACCUUUUGUAUAAUGGGUCAGCGACUUAUAUUCUGUAGCAAGGUUAACCGUAUAGGGGAGCCGGAGGGAAACCGAGUCUUAAUUGGGCGUUAAGUUGCAGGGUAUAGACCCGAAACCCGGUGAUCUAGCCAUGGGCAGGUUGAAGGUUGGGUAACACUAACUGGAGGACCGAACCGACUAAUGUUGAAAAAUUAGCGGAUGACCUGUGGCUGGGGGUGAAAGGCCAAUCAAACCGGGAGAUAGCUGGUUCUCCCCGAAAGCUAUUUAGGUAGCGCCUCGUGAAUUCAUCUUCGGGGGUAGAGCACUGUUUCGGCUAGGGGGUCAUCCCGACUUACCAACCCGAUGCAAACUGCGAAUACCGGAGAAUGUUAUCACGGGAGACACACGGCGGGUGCUAACGUCCGUCGUGAAGAGGGAAACAACCCAGACCGCCAGCUAAGGUCCCAAAGUCAUGGUUAAGUGGGAAACGAUGUGGGAAGGCCCAGACAGCCAGGAUGUUGGCUUAGAAGCAGCCAUCAUUUAAAGAAAGCGUAAUAGCUCACUGGUCGAGUCGGCCUGCGCGGAAGAUGUAACGGGGCUAAACCAUGCACCGAAGCUGCGGCAGCGAACGUAUCACUUAAAGCGAUUCAGCGGGUUACGAUUGACGGAGCGAAGCGACGUCAAAGCGUAUACAAAGUCGAGUCGGUUUAAGGAUACGUUCGUUGGGUAGGGGAGCGUUCUGUAAGCCUGCGAAGGUGGCCUGUGAGGGUUGCUGGAGGUAUCAGAAGUGCGAAUGCUGACAUAAGUAACGAUAAAGCGGGUGAAAAGCCCGCUCGCCGGAAGACCAAGGGUUCCUGUCCAACGUUAAUCGGGGCAGGGUGAGUCGACCCCUAAGGCGAGGCCGAAAGGCGUAGUCGAUGGGAAACGGGUUAAUAUUCCCGUACUUGGUGUUACUGCGAAGGGGGGACGGAGAAGGCUAUGUUGGCCGGGCGACGGUUGUCCCGGUUUAAGCGUGUAGGUGUGUGUUCCAGGUAAAUCCGGUUCACUUUAACACUGAGGCGUGAUGACGAGGCACUACGGUGCUGAAGCAACAAAUGCCCUGCUUCCAGGAAAAGCCUCUAAGCAUCAGGUAACAUCAAAUCGUACCCCAAACCGACACAGGUGGUCAGGUAGAGAAUACCAAGGCGCUUGAGAGAACUCGGGUGAAGGAACUAGGCAAAAUGGUGCCGUAACUUCGGGAGAAGGCACGCUGACACGUAGGUGAAGUGAUUUACUCACGGAGCUGAAGUCAGUCGAAGAUACCAGCUGGCUGCAACUGUUUAUUAAAAACACAGCACUGUGCAAACACGAAAGUGGACGUAUACGGUGUGACGCCUGCCCGGUGCCGGAAGGUUAAUUGAUGGGGUCAGCGCAAGCGAAGCUCCUGAUCGAAGCCCCGGUAAACGGCGGCCGUAACUAUAACGGUCCUAAGGUAGCGAAAUUCCUUGUCGGGUAAGUUCCGACCUGCACGAAUGGCGUAAUGAUGGCCAGGCUGUCUCCACCCGAGACUCAGUGAAAUUGAACUCGCUGUGAAGAUGCAGUGUACCCGCGGCAAGACGGAAAGACCCCGUGAACCUUUACUAUAGCUUGACACUGAACAUUGAGCCUUGAUGUGUAGGAUAGGUGGGAGGCUUUGAAGUGUGGACGCCAGUCUGCAUGGAGCCGACCUUGAAAUACCACCCUUUAAUGUUUGAUGUUCUAACGUGGACCCGU
RNAcentral lists this ribosomal RNA (1769 nucleotides) under Salmonella enterica subsp. enterica serovar London. RNAcentral's name for it is "partial 23S ribosomal RNA". It matches the Rfam family "Bacterial large subunit ribosomal RNA", at positions 564 to 2236 of the family's 2925-position model. Lineage: Bacteria; Pseudomonadati; Pseudomonadota; Gammaproteobacteria; Enterobacterales; Enterobacteriaceae. The record is from RNAcentral.